UACGUAGGGUCCGAGCGUUGUCCGGAAUUACUGGGCGUAAAGAGCUCGUAGGUGGUUUGUCGCGUUGUUCGUGAAAACUCACAACUCAAUUGUGGGCGUGCGGGCGAUACGGGCAGACUUGAGUACUGCAGGGGAGACUGGAAUUCCUGGUGUAGCGGUGGAAUGCGCAGAUAUCAGGAGGAACACCGGUGGCGAAGGCGGGCCUCUGGGCAGUU
This 215-nucleotide ribosomal RNA is filed under the name uncultured bacterium. Its description in RNAcentral is "partial 16S ribosomal RNA". It matches the Rfam family "Bacterial small subunit ribosomal RNA", at positions 524 to 738 of the family's 1533-position model. The record is from RNAcentral.